RNAcentral lists this ribosomal RNA (1446 nucleotides) under uncultured organism. Its description in RNAcentral is "partial small subunit ribosomal RNA". It matches the Rfam family "Bacterial small subunit ribosomal RNA". The record is from RNAcentral.
AACGCUAGCGACAGGCUUAACACAUGCAAGUCGAGGGGCAGCAUUGUUUGUAGCAAUACAGACAGAUGGCGACCGGCGCACGGGUGAGUAACGCGUAUGCAACCUGCCUAUCAGAGGGGAAUAACCCGGCGAAAGUCGGACUAAUACCGCAUAAAACAGGGGUCCCGCAUGGGAAUAUUUGUUAAAGAAGCGAUUCGCUGAUAGAUGGGCAUGCGUUCCAUUAGAUAGUUGGUGAGGUAACGGCUCACCAAGUCUGCGAUGGAUAGGGGUUCUGAGAGGAAGGUCCCCCACACCGGUACUGAGACACGGACCAGACUCCUACGGGAGGCAGCAGUGAGGAAUAUUGGUCAAUGGGCGAGAGCCUGAACCAGCCAAGUCGCGUGAAGGAUGAAGGAUCUAUGGUUCGUAAACUUCUUUUAUAGGGGAAUAAAGUUCAGGACGUGUCCUGUUUUGUAUGUACCCUAUGAAUAAGGAUCGGCUAACUCCGUGCCAGCAGCCGCGGUAAUACGUAGGGGGCAAGCGUUAUCCGGAAUUAUUGGGCGUAAAGAGUGCGUAGGUGGUUACCUAAGCAGGGGGUGAAAGGCACUGGCUUAACCAAUGUCAGCCCCCUGAACUGGGUACCUUGAGUGCAGGAGAGGAAAGCGGAAUUCCUAGUGUAGCGGUGAAAUGCGUAGAUAUUAGGAGGAACACCAGCGGCGAAGGCGGCUUUCUGGACUGUUACUGACACUGAGGCACGAAAGUGUGGGGAGCAAACAGGAUUAGAUACCCUGGUAGUCCACACCGUAAACGAUGAGCACUAGGUGUCGGGGUCGCAAGACUUCGGUGCCGCAGUUAACGCAUUAAGUGCUCCGCCUGGGGAGUACGUACGCAAGUAUGAAACUCAAAGGAAUUGACGGGGACCCGCACAAGCAGCGGAGCAUGUGGUUUAAUUCGAAGCAACGCGAAGAACCUUACCAGGACUUGACAUCCCUCUGAAACCCCUGAUAACGAAGGGGCCUCUACGGACAGAGGAGACAGGUGGUGCAUGGUUGUCGUCAGCUCGUGUCGUGAGAUGUUGGGUUAAGUCCCGCAACGAGCGCAACCCUUGCUGUUAGUUGCCAUCAUUGAGUUGGGCACUCUAACGGGACUGCCGGGGAUAACUCGGAGGAAGGUGGGGAUGACGUCAAAUCAUCAUGCCCCUUAUGUUCUGGGCUACACACGUGCUACAAUGGUCGGUACAAAGAGCAGCAAGACCGCGAGGUGGAGCAAAUCUCAAAAACCGAUCCCAGUUCGGAUUGCAGGCUGCAACUCGCCUGCAUGAAGUUGGAGUUGCUAGUAAUCGCGAAUCAGAAUGUCGCGGUGAAUGCGUUCCCGGGUCUUGUACACACCGCCCGUCACACCACGGAAGUUGGGGGUGCCCAAAGUUGGUCAAAAAAUAGAUUACCUAAGGCAAAACCAAUGACUGGG